Molecule: transfer RNA, 91 nt
Filed under: Bradyrhizobium canariense
Lineage: Bacteria; Pseudomonadati; Pseudomonadota; Alphaproteobacteria; Hyphomicrobiales; Nitrobacteraceae
Description: tRNA-Lys
Source: RNAcentral
CGGCGUUUUAUAGCUAAGUAGCUGAAAGUUCUUGUGAAAGAUGAGACUCUUAAUCUGCGGGUCCCAGGUUCGAGCCCUGGUGCGCCCACCA